Molecule: ribosomal RNA, 397 nt
Filed under: uncultured bacterium
Lineage: Bacteria
Description: partial 16S ribosomal RNA
Rfam family: Bacterial small subunit ribosomal RNA
Source: RNAcentral
AUACGUAGGUGGCAAGCGUUGUCCGGAUUUACUGGGUGUAAAGGGUGCGUAGGCGGGGCAGCAAGUUGGAUGUGAAAUCCUCGGGCUCCACUCGAGAACUGCAUUCAAAACUGUUGCUCUUGAGUGCAGUAGAGGCAAGCGGAAUUCCCGGUGUAGCGGUGAAAUGCGCAGAGAUCGGGAGGAACACCAGUGGCGAAGGCGGCUUGCUGGUCUGUAACUGACGCUGAGGCGCGAAAGCUAGGGGAGCGAACAGGAUUAGAUACCCUGGUAGUCCUAGCCGUAAACGAUGGGUACUAGGUGUAGGGGGUUUAGACGCCCUCUGUGCCGCAGUUAACACAUUAAGUACCCCGCCUGGGGAGUACGGCCGCAAGGCUGAAACUCAAAGGAAUUGACGGGG